UUUCAACUUUGCCUGCCACAGAUUUACCCAGAAGUUGUCAUAUAAAAAGAAAAAAGAAAUCAGGCCAUAUGUUAUUUCAAUAUUCUCCUGACUUAAAAAAGCAAUGGAGUCCAUGCUGUAUGCCCAGGAGUGGUCACUCUUCUCUAAUUACAUCAAGUGAAUUUGUGAACUUUGCUCUCAUAACAUGGAAAUAUUCCUGAAACAGUGGAGAAAUGGCAAAGCUCAACUCUUGAGCACUGAAGCAAACAGAGGCUUAAAAGGUGUAAGUGGCCUUCAGACUUGAAGCUCUGGCUCUCGGGGAUACAGGACGGCAGAACCGCCUCAUAUCUGAGUCAGAAUGCUGGGCUUGAUUUCUCAGGUAACUGAUGAAAAUGUCUCCCACAAAAUGAUGACCAUAAGAAACAUCAGAAUAUUUGCUAUGGCAGAUGACACCAAGAUAACUAGAAGAUUUAAUCUAGCAGACCACACUAACCUGGCUUAAGAACUUUUCAAAUAUAAAUGAUCUAAAUGUUACUUUACUUGGCAAAACAAAG
Sapajus apella (tufted capuchin) is the source of this 533-nucleotide long non-coding RNA. RefSeq lists it as uncharacterized. The transcript is spliced from 3 exons. NCBI's taxonomy places the organism in Eukaryota, Metazoa, Chordata, Mammalia, Primates, Cebidae. The record is from RefSeq and is a predicted model, not a curated record.